UGCGGGGUGGAGCAGUUAGUAGCUCACAGGGCUCAUAACCCUGAGGUCGUAGGUGCAAGUCCUACCCCCGCUACCA
RNAcentral lists this transfer RNA (76 nucleotides) under Gammaproteobacteria bacterium. RNAcentral's name for it is "tRNA-Met". It matches the Rfam family "tRNA". From Rfam's summary of the family: Transfer RNA (tRNA) molecules are approximately 80 nucleotides in length. Their secondary structure includes four short double-helical elements and three loops (D, anti-codon, and T loops). The record is from RNAcentral. Lineage: Bacteria; Pseudomonadati; Pseudomonadota; Gammaproteobacteria.